This 438-nucleotide ribosomal RNA is filed under the name Triticum aestivum (bread wheat). RNAcentral's name for it is "partial small subunit ribosomal RNA". Lineage: Eukaryota; Viridiplantae; Streptophyta; Magnoliopsida; Poales; Poaceae. The record is from RNAcentral.
AUGGAGGCAUUGGCUGCGGCACGCGGCGAGCGCGUGGCGACGGCGACGCGCGGCGAGUCUGCGGCUGUGCGGUGUGAUGUCGUGCGCGCGAACAGCACGGUGGUCGCGGAGACGAGGAGGUCGCGGUGGACCUGCGUGGUGGCGCAGAGGCUGCGGUGGCGCGGCGUGGCGGCAUGGAGGUGCUGCGCUGCGGUUGAGGCCGCAGCGGUGCAGGGCAAUAAGCCGCGGCGGCGUGCCGGGUGCGACCGGUGCGUGUUAUGGAUGCGCACUGGACGCGUCGGGCGCGUCGGGACCGCGGGCGCGCGUACGAGCGUGCGGUUGACGUUGGGAGGAGGCGUAUGUCGCCGUUGUGCUCGAGUCCGUGCUCGAGUUCAGCUACAUCCUUCCGGCGUUUGUCGCUGCGGCUGCCAUGGCGGACGCGAAGGCGGCGGAUGGUGA